CAAAAGCUGUGAGUCUUAAAUGAACAAAGACAGAAUUUCAGAUAGGCGUUUUGAUAGCAUUGUGGCUCUCUGUGGCAAAGGCCAGUAGGAGCUGUUGGAUCAAGGAACUCCAGUUCUACGCUCUACAAAGGUGUGAAAGUGGAAACUGGCCACCUUUGGAGUUGAAAGAAACUUAGGGAGAGAGAGGGGAAAAUAUGCUGGCAUGCUAAUCGCGUGAGACAACUUGGCCCACGG
Molecule: long non-coding RNA, 234 nt
Filed under: Homo sapiens (human)
Lineage: Eukaryota; Metazoa; Chordata; Mammalia; Primates; Hominidae
Description: long non-coding RNA NONHSAT174082.1
Source: RNAcentral